CUGAAGCGUUGACCCACCUUCAACUACUACAGGGAUGUUCAGGGAAAUUGCAGUAGUUCUGUUGAUUGGGUUGCUGGCAUGGGCGUAUCAGGCUGCCUACCCGCCGCCUCCCAAGCUUUGUGGUAGCCUAGGUGGGCCUCCCAUCACUGCACCUAGAAUAAAACUGAGGGAUGGAAGACAUUUGGCUUACAAGGAGCACGGUGUAUCAAGAGAAACUGCCAAUUACAAGAUCAUAUAUGUUCAUGGCUUUUCCACCACCAAAGAUAAUUUUGG
This 273-nucleotide unclassified non-coding RNA is filed under the name Hevea brasiliensis (rubber tree). Lineage: Eukaryota; Viridiplantae; Streptophyta; Magnoliopsida; Malpighiales; Euphorbiaceae. The record is from RNAcentral.